This 259-nucleotide unclassified non-coding RNA is filed under the name Hevea brasiliensis (rubber tree). Lineage: Eukaryota; Viridiplantae; Streptophyta; Magnoliopsida; Malpighiales; Euphorbiaceae. The record is from RNAcentral.
GGCAAAACGGUCAAAAAUGGCAAAAAAGUUCAUAUUCUGGUGGUAACAUACCCAGCUCAAGGCCACAUAAAUCCCCUUUUACAAUUCUCCAAACGCCUCCACCACAAAGGCGCCGCCGUGACCUUCGUCAUCACCAAAUUCCUUUUCAACAACAGCCCCACCGCCAACCGCCCUCCGCCCUUCCCCGUCGAGACCAUCUCCGACGACCAUGACGCCGGCGGAUUUCUCUCCGCCGUCUCCGUCCCUGACUACCACGAAC